AUGGUCCAGCGUUUCAUAUACCGACGUAGGCUUUUCUACAAUACAGCCUCUAACAAAACUAGGCUGUCCCAGACCCCUGUAAUAGAAUUGUUUACCUUUAUACCAAGAACGAUGGGAAAGCACCAAAAUCAGCAUGUGGUGUAUGCCCAGGCAGGCGUCAAGGGGUUCAUGCUGUAAGACCUUAAGUUCUUAUGAGAUUGUCCAAAACAAAGAAACAUGUCAGCAGGGCCUAUGGUGGUUUCAUGUGUGCUAAAUGUGUUCAUGACAGGAUCAAGUGUGCUUUCCUUAUCGAGGAGCAGAAAAUCAUUGUGAAAGUGUUGAAGGCGCAAGCACGGAGUCAGAAAGCUAAAUAAAAAAUGAAACUUUUUUGAGUAAUAAAAAUGAAAA
Cebus imitator (Panamanian white-faced capuchin) is the source of this 387-nucleotide RNA transcript. It is a transcript of the gene named 60S ribosomal protein L34-like, with no coding region annotated. The transcript has a single exon. The record is from RefSeq and is a predicted model, not a curated record. Lineage: Eukaryota; Metazoa; Chordata; Mammalia; Primates; Cebidae.